RNAcentral lists this ribosomal RNA (1143 nucleotides) under Triticum aestivum (bread wheat). RNAcentral's name for it is "partial small subunit ribosomal RNA". Lineage: Eukaryota; Viridiplantae; Streptophyta; Magnoliopsida; Poales; Poaceae. The record is from RNAcentral.
AUGUCGAGCGAUGGCGAAUCAACUGUUGCUGUCAAGCUGUUCAUCGACAAGGAGAACAAGAGGGUGCUUUUUGCGGAAUCUGACCAGGACUUCGUCGUCGUCCUCUUCAGUUUCCUCACCCUGCCCCUCGGCACCAUCGUUCGUCGCCUCGGUAAGCAGUCUCAGGUCGGGUGCCUCGACCAGCUGUACAAGAGCGUGGAGGAUCUCGGGGAAGAUCACUUCCACACGAAGCCAUGCAAGACCAUGCUUCUUAGUCCCCGCAAUGCCGCAGCAGGUCACUUACGCCGGCUUAAAGUCCAAGUUGACGACAUAGAUCAAUCACAGUUUUAUGCUUGCAGCCGUCAUAUGGGGUACUUCAGCUCAGUCCCUGACGUUAGUUGCCCGUUUUGUUUUACCAAUACCAUGGAUAAAACAAUUAGGGACUACAACAAUCCGGUAGAGAUUUUUGCCAAGAUGCGCACAAAGUUCAUCAUCACUGAUGAUCUCCAAGUUGCUCCUUCUUCCACUGGUCUCAUGUUUUCCCUGAUGGACAAACUUGAGCUCCAGGAACAAGAGAAUAUCGAGGAAGUGGUGCUACAACUCGACUCCAAUAAGACGGUUAGCUUGAUUGCAAGAGCAUUGCUGUCGAAGCAACCUUUAACUGGCCUGUAUUUUGAUGUUGCUACCACGCCCGAUGCCGCCACAAAUGUUUUUCAGCUUCUAGAGAAUUUGCUGGUAGAAGUAGCACAAGCAGAUGAGGCUGAGCCCAUGUUCAAAGCAAUAAAGAUGAGGCUUAUUCAGACAAAUGAUGACACGUUGGUGCUGUAUGCUGAAGUUGGGCAUGACUUUGUCGAACUUCUCUUUGGCCUUCUUUGCAUUCCACUUGGAUCCAUAAUCAAAGCUUAUGGUGAAUGGUCACCAAAUGGAUGCAUUGACAAUCUUUACAAGAGUGCGAAUGAGGAAGGAUGUGUAAAACAAGAAUGCCGAAGCUUGCUUCUAUCACCAAAGCUGCCCCCUUUCUUUGGCUGCAGCAGCAAUGUACUCCAAGUGGAAGAACUACCACCUAGAAGAGUCAAUGGCUAUAAUCACGAGAUGAAUCCAAAAAACCCAGUAAAAGUACUUGUAGGGCAUAUAUCAAGGAAGGUUCCACAAACUUUAUGGUGA